CACAAGGUUUAUGACCACAAAAGGAAGGUUGGGAUUGAUUUUGGGAGUUGAGGUCUGAACAGUUUAGGAAUUAGGGGCCAAAAAGGGGCCCAAGUAAGCAUUAUUCUUGGUUUUCGCACCAUAACUUUAGUAUAAGUAAAUAGAAAUCUUUGAAAUUUAAACACAAGGUUUAUGACCAUAAAAGGAAGGUUGGGUUUGAUUUUGGGAGUUUUGGUCCCAACAGGUUUUUUAGGAAUAAGGGACCCAAAGGGUCCAAAAUUGAACUUUGUUUGAUUUCAUCAAAAAUUGAAUAAUUGGGGUUUUUUGAUAUGCCGGAUCUAACUGUGUAUGUAGAUUCUUAAUUUUUUGGUCCCGUUUUCCAAUUGGUCUACAUUAAGGUCCAAAGGGUCCAAAAUUAAACUUAGUUUGAUUUUAACAAAAAUUGAAUCCUUGGGGUUCUUUGAUAUGCUGAAUUCUAAAAAUGUACUUAGAUUUUUUAUUAUUGGCCCAGUUUUCAAGUUGGUCCAAAUCGGGGUCCAAAAUUAAACUUUGUUUUGAUUUCAUCAAAAUUGAAUAAUUGGGGUUCUUUGAUAUGCCAAAUCUAACUGUGUAUGUAGAUUCUUAAUCUUUAGUCCCGUUUUCAAAUUGGUCUACAUUAAAUACCAAAGGGUCC
RNAcentral lists this long non-coding RNA (652 nucleotides) under Mytilus galloprovincialis (Mediterranean mussel). Lineage: Eukaryota; Metazoa; Mollusca; Bivalvia; Mytilida; Mytilidae. The record is from RNAcentral.